AUCUAGCUGAUGAGCUCCAAAAAGAACGAAACGCGUCCUAGAU
RNAcentral lists this non-coding RNA (43 nucleotides) under Diaphorina citri (Asian citrus psyllid). Lineage: Eukaryota; Metazoa; Arthropoda; Insecta; Hemiptera; Psyllidae. The record is from RNAcentral.